UUUUAUAAUUCUUUUGAAUUCUUUGCUCUCUUUUCCCUCCCUCUGUCUCUCUCUGUUCGGUGGUGGUGCGAUCCCUUCUUCAAUGAUCGAGGAUGGAGAUCUAGACAAUGGAUCUCAUCUCAAUGAUCCUUAGCAAAGAGGAAAUGUAUUAGAUUGCAAUUCUUUGAUCUUUUCUUUAAACCAAUUUUUGCGAGAACUCGAUCAAUCCAUGAUGAUGAUGUAGAUCCAAAAGACGGUUUGGGAUUUCAACCGGUGAUUUAUCUUCCGAGGAUCUUUAUCAUCUUUGAAAAGUGCAUUGAUCUCAAUGAUAAUCUUCCAGAAUUGGAAGAGAAAUAUUCAGAUGUAUUUGAUCCAUAGUUGAAAUGAGAGAGAAUUUGCUAGAUUGUCAAAGAUCAAGAGUAGGAUUGAGAAGAGUAUUGUUUUUGAGCUUGAGACUUUUAACAUCUUGCUGCAUCUUGAGAAAGGUGAGGUCAAUUUUGUGCACUUAAUUUUGAUUGGCUGAUUCUUUUCGUUCUUCAUUGUUUGUUCCACAAGGGAUGUUUGUAGCAUCAUUCUCGUGGAAGAUUAAGGAGAAAUGUAAGGAUAAGAUUGAGGUCUGUGAAAAGGUUAUAUAUAUAUAUAUAUAUAUAUGUAUUUUUAGUUGGUAAUAAGACCAUUUACCAUGAAGGGUGCAGGUCGCCCAAUUUUAAUAAAAUUUUCCCAUUUUGUGGUUCUUGAAUAGGUGAUGAUGCAGGUAUUGUAUUUAUUAAGGCAACACCUCCAAGUCAUAUGUAUAGACCAACUAUGGACCAAUGAUUACUUAGUUUAUUGA
Molecule: long non-coding RNA, 811 nt
Organism: Dioscorea cayenensis subsp. rotundata (Guinea yam)
Lineage: Eukaryota; Viridiplantae; Streptophyta; Magnoliopsida; Dioscoreales; Dioscoreaceae
Exons: 4
Source: RefSeq, a predicted model, not a curated record